Molecule: ribosomal RNA, 254 nt
Filed under: uncultured bacterium
Lineage: Bacteria
Description: partial 16S ribosomal RNA
Rfam family: Bacterial small subunit ribosomal RNA
Source: RNAcentral
GACGUAGGGGGCGAGCGUUGUCCGGAUUUAUUGGGCGUAAAGAGCUCGUAGGUGGUUCGGUAAGUCAGGUGUGAAACCUCCAGGCUCAACCUGGAGACGCCACUUGAUACUGCUGUGACUGGAGUCCGGUAGGGGAGCGUGGAAUUCCUGGUGUAGCGAUGAAAUGCGCAGAUAUCAGGAGGAACACCAGCGGCGAAGGCGGCGCUCUGGGCCGGUACUGACACUGAGGAGCGAAAGCGUGGGUAGCAAACAGG